GGUUAAGCGACUAAGCGUACACGGUGGAUGCCCUGGCAGUCAGAGGCGAUGAAGGACGUGCUAAUCUGCGAUAAGCGUCGGUAAGGUGAUAUGAACCGUUAUAACCGGCGAUUUCCGAAUGGGGAAACCCAGUGUGAUUCGUCACACUAUCAUUACGUGAAUACAUAGCGUAAUGAAGCGAACCGGGGGAACUGAAACAUCUAAGUACCCCGAGGAAAAGAAAUCAACCGAGAUUCCCCCAGUAGCGGCGAGCGAACGGGGAGCAGCCCAGAGUCUGAAUCAGCAUGUGUGGUAGUGGAACGGUCUGGAAAGUCCGGCGAUACAGGGUGAUAGCCCCGUACACAAAAGUGCAUGUGUUGUGAACUCGAAGAGUAGGGCGGGACACGUGGUAUCCUGUCUGAAUAUGGGGGGACCAUCCUCCAAGGCUAAAUACUCCUGACUGACCGAUAGUGAACCAGUACCGUGAGGGAAAGGCGAAAAGAACCCCGGCGAGGGGAGUGAAAAAGAACCUGAAACCGUGUACGUACAAGCAGUGGGAGCCUCUUUAUGGGGUGACUGCGUACCUUUUGUAUAAUGGGUCAGCGACUUAUAUUCUGUAGCAAGGUUAACCGAAUAGGGGAGCCGAAGGGAAACCGAGUCUUAACUGGGCGUUAAGUUGCAGGGUAUAGACCCGAAACCCGGUGAUCUAGCCAUGGGCAGGUUGAAGGUUGGGUAACACUAACUGGAGGACCGAACCGACUAAUGUUGAAAAAUUAGCGGAUGACUUGUGGCUGGGGGUGAAAGGCCAAUCAAACCGGGAGAUAGCUGGUUCUCCCCGAAAGCUAUUUAGGUAGCGCCUCGUGAAUUCAUCUUCGGGGGUAGAGCACUGUUUCGGCUAGGGGGUCAUCCCGACUUACCAACCCGAUGCAAACUGCGAAUACCGAAGAAUGUUAUCACGGGAGACACACGGCGGGUGCUAACGUCCGUCGUGAAGAGGGAAACAACCCAGACCGCCAGCUAAGGUCCCAAAGUCAUGGUUAAGUGGGAAACGAUGUGGGAAGGCACAGACAGCCAGGAUGUUGGCUUAGAAGCAGCCAUCAUUUAAAGAAAGCGUAAUAGCUCACUGGUCGAGUCGGCCUGCGCGGAAGAUGUAACGGGGCUAAACCAUGCACCGAAGCUGCGGCAGCGACACUAUGUGUUGUUGGGUAGGGGAGCG
Molecule: ribosomal RNA, 1195 nt
Filed under: Citrobacter braakii
Lineage: Bacteria; Pseudomonadati; Pseudomonadota; Gammaproteobacteria; Enterobacterales; Enterobacteriaceae
Description: partial 23S ribosomal RNA
Rfam family: Bacterial large subunit ribosomal RNA
Source: RNAcentral